AGCCACGCGAGAUGAACGUCCCCCUNUUGCGGGGGGCGUGGCGUACGGCUCAGUAACACGUAGUCACCUGCCCUGGAGACAUGGACACCCCGGGAAACUGGGAUUAAUCCGUGAUAGGUCAUCUCAUCUGGAAGGAGAGAUGGCUUAAAGGGGUACGCGGGCUUCUUCUGCGUAUUCGCUCCAGGAUGGGACUGCGUCCGAUCAGGCUGUUGGCGGGGUAAUGGCCCACCAAACCUGUAACCGGUACGGGCCUUGAGAGAGGUGGCCCGGAGAUGGACACUGAGAGAAGGGUCCAGGUCCUACGGGGCGCAGCAGGCGCGAAACCUUCGCAAUGCGCGAAAGCGUGACGAGGUUAAUCCGAGUGACUUCCGCUGAGGAGGUCUUUUGUCAGCUGUAAAUAGGCAGGCGAAUAAGGGGAGGGCAAGCCUGGUGUCAGCCGCCGCGGUAA
RNAcentral lists this ribosomal RNA (448 nucleotides) under uncultured archaeon. RNAcentral describes it as "bacterial SSU rRNA". It matches the Rfam family "Archaeal small subunit ribosomal RNA", at positions 47 to 473 of the family's 1478-position model. The record is from RNAcentral.